AGUGGGGAAUAUUGCACAAUGGGGGAAACCCUGAUGCAGCAACGCCGCGUGGAGGAUGACACAUUUCGGUGCGUAAACUCCUUUUAUAGGUCAAGAUAAUGACGGUAGCCUAUGAAUAAGCGCCGGCUAACUCCGUGCCAGCAGCCGCGGUAAUACGGAGGGCGCAAGCGUUACUCGGAAUCACUGGGCGUAAAGAGCGUGUAGGCGGGUAGUUAAGUUUGAAGUGAAAUCCUAUGGCUCAACCAUAGAACUGCUUUGAAAACUGUCUACCUAGAGUAUGGGAGAGGUAGAUGGAAUUUCUGGUGUAGGGGUAAAAUCCGUAGAGAUCAGAAGGAAUACCGAUUGCGAAGGCGAUCUACUGGAACAUUACUGACGCUGAGACGCGAAAGCGUGGGGAGCAAA
Molecule: ribosomal RNA, 402 nt
Filed under: uncultured Arcobacter sp.
Lineage: Bacteria; Pseudomonadati; Campylobacterota; Epsilonproteobacteria; Campylobacterales; Arcobacteraceae
Description: bacterial SSU rRNA
Rfam family: Bacterial small subunit ribosomal RNA
Source: RNAcentral